This 1347-nucleotide long non-coding RNA is filed under the name Parus major (Great Tit). Its description in RNAcentral is "lncRNA (ENSPMJG00000009871.1)". The record is from RNAcentral. Lineage: Eukaryota; Metazoa; Chordata; Aves; Passeriformes; Paridae.
CGAGCUUUUUUUUCCCCACAAGGGCCCGUUCUUGCCCCUGGGGACUAUCGCAGCCGUCCCGCCCCGCUAUCGCGACAGGGCGCGACACUGACGCCGCCGCCUUUGUUCGGGCGCGGGGGGGCGCGGCCGCGCCCCGCCACUGGGGGGCGCUCCCGGAGCCACCGCUCCGUGAGGGCCGCGGCCACCGCCCGCCGCCGGCCCCGCCGCCGCUGCCUUCGGCGCUGCCCCUGGGCGGGGAAGGGAAGGGAAGGGAGGGAAGUACCGUCCCAGCCCCUCCAGCCCGCGGGGGCCAUUUUUAAAUGGCUCUGUCAGACAGCGGCGCGGGGGGGAGCAGGUGCCGGAAGAGCUCAGUUUGUGGUCCCAUUCCCCUCUCAGGCGGGGCAGGGCGAGUUGUCGCCGCACGAACCGCCGAGACCGGCACGGCAGGGGAACCGCGAGGCAGCACAAGGAGACGCAUCCCGGCUGCAUGCCGGUGCGCGCCCCGCGGCGGGGAGUCCCCCGCGUUUAAAGGGCAGCACCGCGCGGAGGGAUCCCGGAGCGGGACUUCUUCCCCGCACACACGGCCGUGCGGGGCGGCCCGGGCCUCGUUCCCCUCCCUCGGCGGGAUCCCUCCGCCGCGCCGGGCGGUCAUGGGCCCCGCGGCCGCCGCCGGCCGCGCUCCGCGGCCGGACGGGCUACCCCGGCUGCCCCCGCGCCGCCCGCGGUGAAGCGGCGGCGACAGGAGGCGGCGGCGGGGAGCGGCACGGCUGGGGGCGGGCUGUGUUUCCUUGCCAGCGGUGUAUCCUUCCGCGGCGGCGGGAGUGCGCGGCGGCGGGUGUCCGCGGUGUCCCUCCGCCGCCGGGAGCGCAGGGGCACUCGGCGUCUCCCCGGACGGGGCGAGGAGGUCGCGGGCUCCGCCGGGAGGAACAAGAAGAAACUUCGGGGCGCAGCGGCCAGCGCGGCGCUCGCCUGGCUCGGCGGGGCGGCGGAACGAGGGCUCCCCGCAGGGAAGGAGGAGAAGGAGGAGGAAGCGGCGGCCGGUCCGCGCCGCCACCCCGCGGGGUCUCUGCGGGGGAGCCCGGGGGACUCUUUCUCGCGGGGCGCGGCGGAGGGAUCUCCAGGCGGCUCUCCCCGCCGCCUCCCCCCUGCGCCGCUCGCCCCUCGGCGCCGCCAUCUUGGAUUUUAAUCCGCCAUUUUUUUUCCUCCCCCACUCGGAAUUAUUUUUUUAUCACUAUCGCCGCUUUUUUUUUUUCUCCCCCCUUCCUUAGUUUUCCUCCCCAGUCCGCCCCUGCCUGGCUCGGUCUUCACUUUCCCCUCUUCAGCUUCCUCCCUUCCCCCUUCCCCCCCCUCCCGCACCCUUGCCUUUGA